RNAcentral lists this non-coding RNA (179 nucleotides) under Zea mays. Lineage: Eukaryota; Viridiplantae; Streptophyta; Magnoliopsida; Poales; Poaceae. The record is from RNAcentral.
AUUCCAACACUACACACCCACCUAGCCUGGCAACCAGCCGCCGACCUCCUAUCUACCAUGGAUAUGUGCCUUGGAGCCAAAAGAUCCAUCACCAAUCUUUUCCCUCUUCUAUACCUCCUCAUGCCGCGGCAUGGAUCUCCUUGUUCGUUUGUCAUCUAGGAGUAUCUGGCUAGGUCGCC